GGGCUACACACGUGCUACAAUGGCGGUGACAGUGGGAAGCUACAUGGCGACAUGGUGCUGAUCUCUAAAAGCCGUCUCAGUUCGGAUUGUACUCUGCAACUCGAGUACAUGAAGGUGGAAUCGCUAGUAAUCGCGGAUCAGCAUGCCGCGGUGAA
RNAcentral lists this ribosomal RNA (155 nucleotides) under Gluconobacter oxydans. Its description in RNAcentral is "partial 16S rRNA". It matches the Rfam family "Bacterial small subunit ribosomal RNA", at positions 1211 to 1366 of the family's 1533-position model. The record is from RNAcentral. Lineage: Bacteria; Pseudomonadati; Pseudomonadota; Alphaproteobacteria; Acetobacterales; Acetobacteraceae.